Prionailurus viverrinus (fishing cat) is the source of this 1545-nucleotide long non-coding RNA. RefSeq lists it as uncharacterized. The record is from RefSeq and is a predicted model, not a curated record. NCBI's taxonomy places the organism in Eukaryota, Metazoa, Chordata, Mammalia, Carnivora, Felidae. The transcript has 4 exons.
CUGAAGCAGGCUCUGUGCUGACAGCAGAGAGUCCAAUAUGGGGCUCAGACUCACGAGCCAUGAGAUCAUGGCCCGAGAUGAAGUUGGACGUUUAACUGACUGAGCCACCCAGGUGCCCCCGGAUAUAUUAGUGUUAAAAGUGUUUGUGGUAAGCAAACAUUAUAUAUAAGAUAUAAGUGGUACUGUGUAAGCUCUUGUAACAAGUUACGAAAUCCAGUGCCUAUGGGAGCCAGCCAGAUGAACUGAAUGAAGAAAGAGAGCUGGGUGUGAGGCAAUAGGGAGUGAGGAGGACUGUGGUGAGGUGAAGAGCACACACUGUGUCUGAAGACGGUGGUUUCUUUUCAGCUCCAGCUGAUGUCUGUCACGUGGUACAAAGAGCCCAGUGUGGCCAGAGCUCCUGGAUUCACAAAAGAAACUGGAAACCCAGAUUCUUAUGAAAAAUUCCCUUACACAGGCAUUCCCUCGGAGAUACUGUGGGUUUGGUACCAGACUGCUGCAAUAAAGCAGACGCCUGUGGCUCAAGAUGGAGAAAAGCCUACUGUUGAGCCCACGAGCCCAGACGUGGUUACCUUUUUGCGUGGCCGAAGCUUAUCCCGCCAUUCCUUCAAGUUCUGAUUAUGGCUCUCAUCUAGGGCCUUCAGCUUCUGGGUUUCAUGUUCUACCAGGAGGUGACACUUUUCAUUCUGGAACAAAUUCCAGGCAGAACAGGAGAGAUUUGUGUAAAGAUGAAGACAUGGACCUGACAGAGACACUCCCAACUUUAUUAUUCUCUGAGGUUUUUGGCGCCCCCACUUAAGUUUUGUGCUCCAGCUCCAGCCCAGCCCCUGCAGCUGCCUGAGGCCCCUUGGAUACAAAUGUCACCCCCAUAGACUGCAGUCUGGGAGCUGGGCUCUGAAGCCUGCAGCACCACGGACCACCCUUAGAAGCUGUUUGUCUGAAGACUGGGAAUGGCCUAGUAAGUAUGUCCCAGGCUCCACAGAGGGAGGUGUGAGCUGUUUUUUGGGACCCAGAUGCCCUUCCCCAGGGCAGGCUAGGAGACUCACCUCCCUCCCCUUGUCUCAGGACCAUCUACCUCUUUGUCACCUACCCCCCCCCCCCCACCUCUUCAGCUGGGAGAGAAAAGAGAAGAGCCACAUGGGUCCCAACUAGGGGACUGUUGUUUUGGGAGAAGAGAGGGCAGGGCACAGAAGAUGUAUUGUGUUUGCCACCCGGCACCUGUUCCCCUGCUCUGGUGAAAGCAUCUCAGAUCCCCCUGGGCUGCCAGCCCUUCCUCCUCCCCUACUCUCUUUCAGCUGGGGUUGCUGAGCUGGGAUGACAUACAGGAAGCUGCCUGCGAGCCAAGUCAACACAGGAAAGGAGAGCCCAAAUGACAGAGAAGUAGCUCCUCAUGACGCAGCUGGAGCACGUGAAUCCCAACACGUGGACGUGAGCUUUUCAGAUACAUGAGCUCCCCAGAGUCUCCUCUGUUGCUGAAGUGGGACUGAGCUGGGGUUUCGAUCGCUUGCAUCCUAGAGCCCCUGGCCUCUGCCCAGCACAUAUUCACCU